This is a long non-coding RNA of Hibiscus syriacus, 493 nucleotides long. RefSeq lists it as uncharacterized. The record is from RefSeq and is a predicted model, not a curated record. The transcript has 3 exons. NCBI's taxonomy places the organism in Eukaryota, Viridiplantae, Streptophyta, Magnoliopsida, Malvales, Malvaceae.
UCAUUCUCUCCCCUCUACCCAAAUGUGCAACGGCCGACCACUCCCAAGCCAAGGCUAAACGCGCCGGCCACCGCCCACGACGGCCUCUUUGGUCCGAACCGCUAUCCAAACCGACCGAGGAGCUGAACCAGUCCUAAUCAAGGCCAAACCGCGACCCCAAUUAGCCCCUUAUUUCUUCUUCCUCACUCAACUUAGAACCGAAAAGCCGAACCAAUUGGCUUUCUAACCCGGAGACUUCAACGCGGGCGAAAUCUCCAACCAAAGUUUGUUUGGGAUAAUCAGGGUGACUGACAAGUGCCUAGAGGCCCUUUCCAAGUCGUGUGCAAAUAAGAUCACGACUCUUGAUGUUAGUGGAUGUAUCGGUAUCAAGAGGCGCAGCCGUGAUGAUUUACUUAAGUUGUUCCCUUAUCUGAGAUGCUUCAAAGUGCAUAGCUAAUACAUCAGAGUGCUUGAAAGCUUUUAUAAUUGUUUUGGUAUAUUAAAGAGAGAGAAU